UCCGGUUUCCACACCGGUCACCAACAUGUCAAACCCAGGUAAGGUUCUUCGCGUUGCGUCGAAUUAAACCACAUGCUCCGCUGCUUGUGCGGGUCCCCGUCAAUUCCUUUGAGUUUUAGCCUUGCGGCCGUACUCCCCAGGCGGGGCGCUUAAUGCGUUAGCUGCGGCACGGAGGACGUGGAAUGUCCCCCACACCUAGCGCCCAACGUUUACGGCGUGGACUAC
This 225-nucleotide unclassified non-coding RNA is filed under the name uncultured Actinomycetes bacterium. RNAcentral's name for it is "uncultured actinobacterium contains 16S-23S intergenic spacer region". The record is from RNAcentral. Lineage: Bacteria; Bacillati; Actinomycetota; Actinomycetes.